RNAcentral lists this ribosomal RNA (405 nucleotides) under uncultured bacterium. Its description in RNAcentral is "partial 16S ribosomal RNA". It matches the Rfam family "Bacterial small subunit ribosomal RNA", at positions 30 to 526 of the family's 1533-position model. The record is from RNAcentral.
AUUGAACGCUGGCGGCAGGCCUAACACAUGCAAGUCGAGCGAGCGGCGGACGUGUGAGUAAUGUAUGGGGAUCUGGCCGAUAGAUGGGGAUAACUACGGGUAACAGUGUCUACUACCGCAUACUCUCCGAUGACCCCAUACGGGAUUAGAUAGUGGGUGGGGUAAAGGCUCAACUAGCGACGAUCGCUAGCUGGUCUGAGAGGAUGAUCAGCCACACGUGAACUGAGAAACGGACCAGACUCCUACGGGAGGCAGCAGUGGGGAAUAUUGCGCAAUGGGGGCAACCCUGACGCAGCCAUGCCGCGUGAAUGAAGAAGGCAUUCGGGUUGUAAAGUACUUUCGGUAGCGAGGCGUUAGCUACAGAAGAAGCACCGGCUAACGCCGUGCUAGCAGCCGCGGUAAUAC